GGUGACGUAGCCAAGCGGUAAGGCGAGGGUCUGCAAAACCCUUAUACGUGGGUUCGAUUCCCACCGUCACCU
This 72-nucleotide transfer RNA is filed under the name Candidatus Falkowiibacteriota bacterium. Its description in RNAcentral is "tRNA-Cys". It matches the Rfam family "tRNA". From Rfam's summary of the family: Transfer RNA (tRNA) molecules are approximately 80 nucleotides in length. Their secondary structure includes four short double-helical elements and three loops (D, anti-codon, and T loops). Further hydrogen bonds mediate the characteristic L-shaped molecular structure. tRNAs have two regions of fundamental functional importance: the anti-codon, which is responsible for specific mRNA codon recognition, and the 3' end, to which the tRNAs corresponding amino acid is attached (by aminoacyl-tRNA synthetases). tRNAs cope with the degeneracy of the genetic code in two manners: having more than one tRNA (with a specific anti-codon) for a particular amino acid; and 'wobble' base-pairing, i.e. permitting non-standard base-pairing at the 3rd anti-codon position. Lineage: Bacteria; Candidatus Falkowiibacteriota. The record is from RNAcentral.